UUCCGGUUGAUCCUGCCGGACCUGACUGCUAUCGGAUUGAUACUAAGCCAUGCGAGCCAUUGUAGCAAUACAAGGCAUACGGCUCAGUAACGCGUAGUCAACCUAACCUAUGGACGGAAAUAACCUCGGGAAACUGAGAAUAAUGUCCGAUAGAACACUAUACCUGGAAUGGUUUGUGUUCCAAAUGAUUUAUCGCCGUAGGAUGGGACUGCGGCCUAUCAGUUUGUUGGUGAGGUAAUGGCCCACCAAGACCAUUACAGGUACGGGCUCUGAGAGGAGUAGCCCGGAGAUGGGUACUGAGACACGGACCCAGGCCCUAUGGGGCGCAGCAGGCGAGAAAACUUUGCAAUGUGCGAAAGCACGACAAGGUUAAUCCGAGUGAUUUGUGCUAAACGAAUCUUUUGUUAGUCUUAGAACCACUAACGAAUAAGGGGUGGGCAAGUUCUGGUGUCAGCCGCCGCGGUAAAACCAGCACCUCAAGUGGUCAGGAUGAUUAUUGGGCCUAAAGCAUCCGUAGCCGGCUCUGUAAGUUUUCGGUUAAAUCUGUACGCUCAACGUACAGGCUGCCGGGAAUACUGCAGAGCUAGGGAGUGGGAGAGGUAGACGGUACUCGGAAGGAAGGGGUAAAAUCCUUUGAUCUUUUGAUGACCACCUGUGGCGAAGGCGGUCUACCAGAACACGUCCGACGGUGAGGGAUGAAAGCUGGGGGAGCAAACCGGAUUAGAUACCCGGGUAGUCCCAGCUGUAAACUAUGCAAACUCAGUGAUGCAUUGACUUGUGGUCAAUGCAGUGCUGCAGGGAAGCCGUUAAGUUUGCCGCCUGGGAAGUACGUACGCAAGUAUGAAACUUAAAGGGAAUUGGCGGGGGAGCACCACAAGGGUGAAGCCUGCGGUCAAUUGGACUCAACGCCGGA
This 913-nucleotide ribosomal RNA is filed under the name uncultured archaeon. RNAcentral describes it as "bacterial SSU rRNA". It matches the Rfam family "Archaeal small subunit ribosomal RNA", at positions 1 to 922 of the family's 1478-position model. The record is from RNAcentral.